UACGUAGGGGGCUAGCGUUGUCCGGAUUUAUUGGGCGUAAAGAGCGUGUAGGCGGCCAGGUAGGUCUGCUGUGAAAACUCGAGGCUUAACCUCGAGCUGUCGGCGGAAACCAUCUGGCUAGAGUCCGGAAGAGGAGAAUGGAAUUCCCGGUGUAGCGGUGAAAUGCGCAGAUAUCGUUUGGAACGCCAAUGGUGAAAACAGGUUGCUGGGAGUGUGCUGACGCUGAGACACGAAAGCCAGGGGAGCAAACGGG
This 253-nucleotide ribosomal RNA is filed under the name uncultured bacterium. RNAcentral's name for it is "partial 16S ribosomal RNA". It matches the Rfam family "Bacterial small subunit ribosomal RNA", at positions 524 to 776 of the family's 1533-position model. The record is from RNAcentral.